Non-coding RNA from Erinaceus europaeus (western European hedgehog), 129 nucleotides. The record is from Rfam. NCBI's taxonomy places the organism in Eukaryota, Metazoa, Chordata, Mammalia, Eulipotyphla, Erinaceidae.
AACACCUGUGUUUGUUUGUGUUUAAGUAGUGAGCAAAAGUUUCUAAACAGGUGCAAAAAAAAAAAUCCUCUUUAGCAACCGGGAGCUGAUUGUUCCAUAUGAGGUUUGAUACAUAUGAGAAGGAACAUG